CCUGUGUCUGGGUGUCUGCAGGAUGGAGAUUUGGACACCACCCAGGUGUUCCUGCAGGCCUCGGACUCCAAACAUCUGGAGAAGAAGCCGGGCCGCAGGAAGAGGACCUGGCUGGGACUGGGUCUGGUGCUGGGGGCCGGGGCCGUGGCUCUGCUCACCGGGAUGCUCGUCUGGCACUUUCACUUACGCAGUGAUGUCCGAGUGAAGAAACUGUACAUCGGCCAGAUGGGGAUCAAUAACCAGCGCUACCAGGCGGCGUAUGAAGAUCCCAGCAGCUCCGAGUUCAGCCAGCUGGCAGGGCUGGUCAGCACGCAGCUGAAACUGAUUUACUCCAAGAACUCUGUGCUGGCCAAAUCCUUUAAAGGCUCCACGGUCCACGCCUUCAG
Molecule: long non-coding RNA, 386 nt
Organism: Perca fluviatilis (European perch)
Lineage: Eukaryota; Metazoa; Chordata; Actinopteri; Perciformes; Percidae
Exons: 3
Source: RefSeq, a predicted model, not a curated record